AAUCAACGCUGGCGGCGUGCCUAACACAUGCAAGUCGAGCGGGAAAGGGGGCUUCGGCCCCUGAGUAUAGCGGCGGACGGGUGAGUAACACGUGGGUAAUUUGCCCUUGGGUGUGGAAUAACUCAGGGAAACUUGAGCUAAUACCGCAUGACAUCCCCUUCACACACGAGUCGGGGAUCAAAGCCGGGGACCCUUCGGGGCCUGGCGCCUGAGGAGAAGCCCGCGCCCGAUUAGCUAGUUGGGA
This 244-nucleotide ribosomal RNA is filed under the name uncultured bacterium. RNAcentral describes it as "partial 16S ribosomal RNA". It matches the Rfam family "Bacterial small subunit ribosomal RNA", at positions 32 to 254 of the family's 1533-position model. The record is from RNAcentral.